AGCUCCAAUAGCGUAUAUUCAAGUUGCUGCAGUUAAAAAGCUCGUAGUUGAAUUUUGGUCCUGACUAGGUGGUUUGGUCGCGAGAUCAACACUGCCUGGUCGGGACUUUCCUUCUAGGGAACUAGGGUGCUCUUUAUUGAGUGCUCUAGGGAUCUAGAACUGUUACUUUGAAAAAAUUAGAGUGUUUAAAACAGGCUUACGCUUGAAUACAUUAGCAUGGAAUAACGGAAUAGGACUUUGUUUCUAUUUUGUUGGUUUUCAGAAACGAAGUAAUGAUUAAUAGGGAUAGUUGGGGGCAUUAGUAUUCCAUAGUCAGAGGUGAAAUUCUUGGAUUUAUGAAAGACUAACUUCUGCGAAAGCAUUUGCCAAGGAUGUUUUCAUUAAUCAAGAACGAAAGUAG
This 400-nucleotide ribosomal RNA is filed under the name phytoplankton environmental sample. RNAcentral describes it as "partial small subunit ribosomal RNA". It matches the Rfam family "Eukaryotic small subunit ribosomal RNA", at positions 587 to 992 of the family's 1831-position model. The record is from RNAcentral.